CCUACGGGAGACAGCAGUGAGGAAUAUUGGUCAAUGGGCUUACGCCUGAACCAGCCAAGUCGCGUGAGGGAAGACUGCCCUAUGUGUUGUAAACCUCUUUUGUCAGGGAGCGAUUGGCGCUACGUGUAGCGUUAUCGAGAGUACCUGAAGUAAAAGCAUCGGCUAACUCCGUGUCAGCAGCCGCGGUAAUACGGAGGAUGCGAGCGUUAUCCGGAUUUAUUGGGUUUAAAGGGUGCGUAGGCGGAAUGCCAAGUCAGCGGUAAAAUCGCGGGGAUCAACCUCGCUCCGCCGUUGAAACUGGCGUUCUUGAGUGGGCGAGAAGUAUGCGGAAUGCGUGGUGUAGCGGUGAAAUGCAUAGAU
Molecule: ribosomal RNA, 360 nt
Filed under: uncultured bacterium
Lineage: Bacteria
Description: partial 16S ribosomal RNA
Rfam family: Bacterial small subunit ribosomal RNA
Source: RNAcentral